GCGGCAAAUGGGUGAGUAAUAUCUGGGAAUCUGCCCAAAAGAGGGGGAUAACUACUAGAAAUGGUAGCUAAUACCGCAUAAUGUUGUAAAACCAAAGUGGGGGACCUUUUGGCCUCAUGCUUUUGGAUGAGCCCAGACGAAAUUAGCUUGUUGGUAGAGUAAUAGCCUACCAAGGCUACGAUUUCUAGCUGGUCUGAGAGGAUAACCAGCCACACUGGAACUGAGACACGGUCCAGACUCCUACGGGAGGCAGCAGUGGGGAAUAUUGCACAAUGGGCGAAAGCCUGAUGCAGCUAUGCCGCGUGUAUGAAGAAGGCCUUAGGGUUGUAAAGUACUUUCAGCGGGGAGGAAAAAAAUAAAAAUAAUACUUUUAU
Molecule: ribosomal RNA, 374 nt
Filed under: Hyadaphis tataricae
Lineage: Eukaryota; Metazoa; Arthropoda; Insecta; Hemiptera; Aphididae
Description: bacterial SSU rRNA
Rfam family: Bacterial small subunit ribosomal RNA
Source: RNAcentral